UACAGAGGUCUCAAGCGUUGUUCGGAUUCAUUGGGCGUAAAGGGCGCGUAGGCGGAUCUUUAAGUCGGGGGUGAAAGCCCAGGGCUCAACCCUGGAAUUGCCUUCGAUACUGGAGAUCUUGAGACCGGAAGAGGUAAGUGGAACUGCGAGUGUAGAGGUGAAAUUCGUAGAUAUUCGCAAGAACACCAGUGGCGAAGGCGGCUUACUGGUCCGGUUCUGACGCUGAGGCGCGAAAGCGUGGGGAGCAAACAUG
This 253-nucleotide ribosomal RNA is filed under the name uncultured bacterium. RNAcentral's name for it is "partial 16S ribosomal RNA". It matches the Rfam family "Bacterial small subunit ribosomal RNA", at positions 524 to 776 of the family's 1533-position model. The record is from RNAcentral.